AUUGAACGCUGGCGGCAGGCCUAACACAUGCAAGUCGAGCGAGCGGCGGACGGGUGAGUAAUGUCUGGGAAACUGCCUGAUGGAGGGGGAUAACUACUGGAAACGGUAGCUAAUCCCGCAUACCAUCAGAUGUGCCCCGGUGGGAUUAGCUAGUGGGUGGGGUAACGGCCGACCUAGGCGACGAUCCCUAGCUGGUCUGAGAGGAUGACCAGCCACACUGGAACUGAGACACGGUCCAGACUCCUACGGGAGGCAGCAGUGGGGAAUAUUGCACAAUGGGCGCAAGCCUGAUACAGCCAUGCCGCGUGUGUGAAGAAGGCCUUCGGGUUGUAAAGCACUUUCAGCGGGGAGGCGUUACCCGCAGAAGAAGCACCGGCUAACUCCGUGCCAGCCUCCGCGGUAAUUC
This 406-nucleotide ribosomal RNA is filed under the name uncultured bacterium. RNAcentral describes it as "partial 16S ribosomal RNA". It matches the Rfam family "Bacterial small subunit ribosomal RNA", at positions 30 to 526 of the family's 1533-position model. The record is from RNAcentral.